Molecule: ribosomal RNA, 468 nt
Filed under: uncultured bacterium
Lineage: Bacteria
Description: partial 16S ribosomal RNA
Rfam family: Bacterial small subunit ribosomal RNA
Source: RNAcentral
GACGAACGCUGGCGGCGUGCUUAACACAUGCAAGUCGAACGGAAAGGCCCUGCUUUUGUGGGGUUCUCGAGUGGCGAACGGGUGAGUAACACGUGAGUAACCUGCCCUUGACUUUGGGAUAACUUCAGGAAACUGGGGCUAAUACCGGAUAGGAGCUCCUGCUGCAUGGUGGGGGUUGGAAAGUUUCGGCGGUUGGGGAUGGACUCGCGGCUUAUCAGCUUGUUGGUGGGGUAGUGGCUUACCAAGGCUUUGACGGGUAGCCGGCCUGAGAGGGUGACCGGCCACAUUGGGACUGAGAUACGGCCCAGACUGCUACGGGAGGCAGCAGUGGGGAAUAUUGCAGAAGGGGCGGAAGCCUGAUGCAGCAACGCCGCGUGCGGGAUGACGGCCUGCGGGGGGUAAACCGCUUUCGCCUGUGACGAAGCGUGAGUGACGGUAAUGGGUAAAGAAGCACCGGCUAACUACGUG